UUUUUGUUAAACAAAGAAAAUAAUAUUUGAUCGUGUAAUUGUUUGCUAUUCAAAUAUACUACGAUAUCCGUUUGUUUGUAGUUUUUGACUACGCUCGAACAAUUUUAACGAAAGUUUUAGAUCUUGUUCUUAGAGACAUCAGAAAAGUUUCGUGUACGUAGUAUGAACCACGUCCGAAAAUAUGCCAAGUGUUUUAACCAAUCCGCCACGAGAGGAUCGACCAUUUCGAUUGAAUCAGUUCGAAAAGCGAUGUAUACCAAUUCCGAUUUGCUAAUGAAUAAAGGGUGUUGCACGUACGGACAGCUAACUAUCGCUGCACAACACGACGGUCUGCUUUGUAAACGUAGUAUUGUUUCAGCGUCAAUAUUGCCUGCAAAUUCGAAACUAAAAUACACAGGUACCAGCAGUUACCCUGCAGGCCAUGUCGACACCUAACCACCGUACUUAACCGGAAGUGUGUAGGAUUUGAAAAUCCAAAAACUUAACAAUAUUAAUCAAAACUUUAGAAAGAACUUCUUGCGGAUGAAACGUUCAGCGAGCUUGCAGCUAAAUAAAAGUGUGAUUGGGAGGAUUAAGUCCGAAAUCCGAUUCCUGCCUCUUUUUGUAUAAUAAUUGUUAUACCACACAUAUUAUUUUUGAUGGUAAUAGUUGUUGCGCAAUCGUGCAAUCUAAUCCAAUAUCAACACGGACGUUAAAACUCCAAUGGGCAAAUAUCAGUCACGCAUCAGUCUCUCGCUUUGUUGAAGCAUUACAAUUCUUAAUUACUAGUUUUAAAUUUUUAAUUGAUGUAAAAGAGGCGCGAAACAUUUUUCACACUACAAUAUUGCUAUUUUCUUUGUGCAAAAUUUUACUGAACCAAAUUAUAAUUAUUACUAUCAUCAUGAUAUUAUUA
Long non-coding RNA from Aphis gossypii (cotton aphid), 892 nucleotides. RefSeq lists it as uncharacterized. The transcript is spliced from 6 exons. Lineage: Eukaryota; Metazoa; Arthropoda; Insecta; Hemiptera; Aphididae. The record is from RefSeq and is a predicted model, not a curated record.